This 253-nucleotide ribosomal RNA is filed under the name uncultured bacterium. RNAcentral's name for it is "partial 16S ribosomal RNA". It matches the Rfam family "Bacterial small subunit ribosomal RNA", at positions 524 to 776 of the family's 1533-position model. The record is from RNAcentral.
UACGUAGGGUGCGAGCGUUAAUCGGAAUUACUGGGCGUAAAGCGUGCGCAGGCGGGUUUUUAAGCCAGACGUGAAAUCCCCGGGCUUAACCUGGGAAUGGCGUUUGGGACUGGAAGUCUGGAGUGCGGCAGAGGAGACUGGAAUUCCUGGUGUAGCAGUGAAAUGCGUAGAUAUCAGGAGGAACACCGAUGGCGAAGGCAGGUCUCUGGGCUGACACUGACGCUCAUGCACGAAAGCGUGGGGAGCAAACAGG